GGUACUGUUGCUUAGUCCAGUGCCUGAAAGAGAGCCUGGACUGAAGCAGAUUCAGUAUUACUGGUAACUUGAUCAUACUUAGGAUAAGCUACAUGAAUAAAGUUGAAUAAACUUGUUUAUAAGGUGAAGACAGAAGGAAUUGUUGUCUUGUGCACCUGUGGGGAGCCUUAAAGGCUACUGCUCCUGGAAACCUAAUGAUUGUUGCAGAGCUGAUAGAACACAGUGAAAAACUACAUUUAAAUCAAUUGUUUGAAAUCUUCUGUCUGGAGGGUGUUGCUUUCAGGACUGCUUCACUGGAGUCAAUAGUGGUACAUUAGAAAAGUGGUUCAGAUCAGAACUCAACUAAAAUCAUCAUUUUAAGGUGACUUGGACUUACAAGUAACAAAUAGGACAUGUCUUUAAAUCUGUUGAAAAAUCCAAAAACUACUCAACUGGUGACCAGCAAGAGUUUGGAACUGGAAUGAACAUUUACUGGUUUCCUACUGGAUACUCAGCAGCUGUAUCUUACAAGGACUCCAAGACACAAGACCCCUGAUUCUCUCUCUACAAACCUUUAACCGAG
Long non-coding RNA from Acipenser ruthenus (sterlet), 562 nucleotides. RefSeq lists it as uncharacterized. The transcript is spliced from 3 exons. The record is from RefSeq and is a predicted model, not a curated record. Lineage: Eukaryota; Metazoa; Chordata; Actinopteri; Acipenseriformes; Acipenseridae.